AAUUUAAAAUGAAACUAUAUAUUCAUAUAACUGAUACCACAAAUCAAUAUUUUAAUUAAAUUAUUUAAAU
Molecule: transfer RNA, 70 nt
Filed under: Ischyja marapok
Lineage: Eukaryota; Metazoa; Arthropoda; Insecta; Lepidoptera; Erebidae
Description: tRNA-His
Source: RNAcentral